This 21-nucleotide non-coding RNA is filed under the name Caenorhabditis elegans. The record is from RNAcentral. Lineage: Eukaryota; Metazoa; Nematoda; Chromadorea; Rhabditida; Rhabditidae.
UGAAACUGUAAAAAUUAUGGC